GUGAGGAAUUUUCCGCAAUGGGCGAAAGCCUGACGGAGCAAUGCCGCGUGAAGGAUGAAGGCCUAUGGGUUGUAAACUUCUUUUCUUAGAGAAGAAUAUUGACGGUAUCUGAGGAAUAAGCACCGGCUAACUUCGUGCCAGCAGCCGCGGUAAUACGAAGGGUGCAAGCGUUAAUCGGAAUUACUGGGCGUAAAGCGCGCGUAGGCGGCUUUGUAAGACGGAUGUGAAAGCCCCGGGCUCAACCUGGGAAGUGCAUUCGUGACUGCAAGGCUAGAGUGUGUCAGAGGGAGGUGGAAUUCCGCGUGUAGCAGUGAAAUGCGUAGAGAUGCGGAGGAACACCGAUGGCGAAGGCAGCCUCCUGGGAUAACACUGACGCUCAGGCACGAAAGCGUGGGGAGCAAACAGGAUUAGAUACCCGGGUAGUCC
RNAcentral lists this ribosomal RNA (426 nucleotides) under uncultured bacterium. RNAcentral describes it as "partial 16S ribosomal RNA". It matches the Rfam family "Bacterial small subunit ribosomal RNA", at positions 354 to 796 of the family's 1533-position model. The record is from RNAcentral.